ACGAACGCUGGCGGCGUGCCUAAUACAUGCAAGUCGAACGGUCUUUCUAUGGAAGCUUGCUUCCACUGAGAAGAUAGUGGCGAACGGGUGAGUAACACGUGGGUAACCUGCCCAUAAGAGGGGGAUAACAUCCGGAAACGGGUGCUAAUACCGCAUAGUUUUCUUGAUCGCAUGAUCGGGAAAGGAAAGACGGCCUUUGUGCUGUCGCUUAUGGAUGGACCCGCGGCGUAUUAGUUAGUUGGUGAGGUAACGGCUCACCAAGACGAUGAUACGUAGCCGACCUGAGAGGGUGAUCGGCCACAUUGGGACUGAGACACGGCCCAAACUCCUACGGGAGGCAGCAGUAGGGAAUCUUCCGCAAUGGACGAAAGUCUGACGGAGCAACGCCGCGUGAGUGAAGAAGGUUCUCCGGAUCGUAAAACUCUGUUGUCAGAGAAGAACAAGUUGGAGAGUAACUGCUCCAGCCUUGACGGUAUCUGACCAGAAAGCCACGGCUAACUACGUGCCAGCCGCUGC
Molecule: ribosomal RNA, 516 nt
Filed under: uncultured bacterium
Lineage: Bacteria
Description: bacterial SSU rRNA
Rfam family: Bacterial small subunit ribosomal RNA
Source: RNAcentral